CCCAGACUCCUACGGGAGGCAGCAGUGGGGGAUAUUGCACAAUGGGGGGAACCCUGAUGCAGCGACGCCGCGUGGGUGAAGAAGCGCCUCGGCGCGUAAAGCCCUUUCAGCAGGGAAGAAAAUGACGGUACCUGAAGAAGAAGCCCCGGCUAACUACGUGCCAGCAGCCGCGGUAAUACGUAGGGGGCAAGCGUUAUCCGGAUUUACUGGGUGUAAAGGGAGCGCAGGCGGCACGGCAAGCCUGAUGUGAAAGCCCGCGGCUCAACCGCGGGACUGCAUUGGGAACUACCGGGCUGGAGUGUCGGAGAGGUAGGCGGAAUUCCUAGUGUAGCGGUGAAAUGCGUAGAUAUUAGGAGGAACACCAGUGGCGAAGGCGGCCUACUGGACGGUGACUGACGCUGAGGCUCGAAAGCGUGGGGAGCAAACAGGAUUAGAUACCCGUGUA
This 445-nucleotide ribosomal RNA is filed under the name uncultured bacterium. RNAcentral's name for it is "bacterial SSU rRNA". It matches the Rfam family "Bacterial small subunit ribosomal RNA", at positions 330 to 792 of the family's 1533-position model. The record is from RNAcentral.